This is a long non-coding RNA of Spinacia oleracea (spinach), 2580 nucleotides long. RefSeq lists it as uncharacterized. The record is from RefSeq and is a predicted model, not a curated record. Lineage: Eukaryota; Viridiplantae; Streptophyta; Magnoliopsida; Caryophyllales; Amaranthaceae. The transcript is spliced from 3 exons.
AAUUUGAGCCUUGUCACGUUUUGUCCCAUAUUUCGAUGGGUUUUCGCUAGGUGUGUCAAUUCGGACAAACGGAACGGGCUUGGGUCGGGUUUAUCGGUGUGGGUUGAAACAAGUUCGUUUUGCUUACAGAUUUGGUCUUGUUCGAAAGUCAGCGGGUCGGGUUGAUUAAGUAGGGGUACACGUAGACUUGUCAAAAAUCGACCCGGCCCGAAAACUGAGUCGAACCCGACCCGAAAAUAUCGAGUCUUGAACAAGAUUUGUGACCCGUAACCCGAUUUUUAUCCGAACCCAAGCAAUCCGAAAAGUAAUGGGACAAAACCCGACCAAACCCGUUUUUGACCCGACCGAUUGAAAAUGAUUGUAUUUAUAGUAAAUUAGUAAUAAAUGAGAUUAUGAGGAAUUUCAAGCAUAGUAAUCACAUUGAUUUUAUUAUUGUUGGGUGUAAUAUGAUUUUAAUUUAAAUUACACGUCAUUUAAUGAUUGAAUUUGACUAAAUAUAAACUUGUGUAGGAAAAUUUAUGAUUUUGUGCUCGUAUUUGAUAUAUAUAUUACCUAAAUUAAUGAAAAUAUAAUACUCGUUUUAAAAUCUCUUAAACCGUUGGGCCACCCGAAAUUUCUAGAUCUUGAACAAGCAUUUGUAAAACCGAACCCGAAAGUGACCGAUCCAAUUUAACCCGAACCCAAAAACAAUUUUUUAUAACCCGAUCCGAACGACACGUUUGACGGGUCUAAGUAGGGGUUUAUAUCGGGUUGGUCUCAUAUUGAAUCGGAUUAUAAUCGGGUCAGGUUGUAAACGGGUUUAGCCGGAUUAUAAUAGGUCUGUAUCAUGUCAUUUUAUCGGAUAACAGUAUGAAAUGACUUGAGUUUAACAGGUUUAGUCGAGUUACAUCGGGUUCAGGUUCAUAUCGAUUUGAGUUCUUAUCAUUUUGGUUCUUAUCGGUUUGGGUUCAUACAGUGUGGAUAAAUCAGUAGUGAGUUGUACUCCGAGUCAGGUCAUUCCAGUCCCAAAUUAUAAAAUCACAAUUAAAAUAAAAGAAAUUCAAUACGUUUAUAAAUUAUAAUAUUGAGGCCUUUAGGAGACAAGGACGAUAACUAACCUUUAAAAAUAUUAAAAAUUUAAGAUCAAUAGCGGGAUUAAACGGGUUACAGUUGUAAACUAGUAUAGUACCCGUGCGAUGCACGAUUUAUGAUAUGAAUAUUGAAUUUGCAUAUCUAAACUUUUACUAAACUAUAGUUAUAGGCAAUUAUCAUCAAAAUAGAGCUUAUAGAUAAUAUUAUUAUUGAAACUAAUGAUGAAUAGAUCUGUUAUUGCCUCAUUCCUUGUCUUAUUUAUUUAACAAACUCAAAAAAAAAAUUAAAAAAAUAAUAAGGGUACAUAGAUAAAUUUAUGCUUUUCCCCUUUCAUAACCCAUGUCAAACAUAAAGUUAUUCCCAUCUGCUCUUUACUUCGAUAGUCAUACCCACUUAAUACUCCCCUACCAUCUACUCCCUUUGUUCCAUAAUGUUCCUCACUUUUCCAUUAUGCGCGAUAUCCAAUGCACUACACUACAACAAUUUACUAGUCUAGCGGCAUUUAUCUAGCGGCAUUUAUGUUAAAUGUCACUAUAAUACGUCUUUAGGCGGCAUAUCUAGUGGCAUUUCUUAAAAAUGCCAGUAAAAGCCCAAAUUUUCUUUGGCGGUGUAUUAGCCCACUAGGCGCGGUGAUUUGGACCAAUUUAGUUUUAUCCGCGCUUCGAUUUUUUCCAACCCAAAGAAACCCUCACAUAACUCCAAAAACAGAACUCAAACCCUCGCCUCCAACAUUUUCUCUCUCAUCUACAAUUCUCACUACUCAAAUAUUGAUGCAAUUCUCUACCAACAGCUUUGAAAUUCUUUAUUUUCAUUACAAAAUUGGAGAUUCUUGCUAAAAAUACAAGAAUUGAGGUGGAAUUUGACCCGGUGGCUGCAACGGUGGUGGCGGCAUCAAGGGUUUGAUUGGUUAGGCGUUAGUGCUUCUUCGAUCGAACGGCUGAUGAUACUCAGGGAGCUACUGGCAAUAUUGUGAACACUCGAACAAAUAUGAGUCCUCCAUCAAUAAGCCUAGAAGAACUAGAAGAUCAAAUGAUUGAUGGGAGUUUAGAGAAUUGUUAAAGGCAUUGUUGCUAGGUAGAAGAGUUCAUGAUUUCAGUACUUAGUACCUAGUGAACAGGUUAUUUUUUUUAUCAAGUGGGGUGAACUUGUCUAUUAUUUGUGAAGCUUGAUGCUGAUUGUUGCUGGUUUUGGAAGUUGUGAAGAGCCUAAAUAGCCUUUGAAUUGUGAAGCUUAAUGCUGAUUUUUGCUGAUUUUGGAAGUUGUGAAGAGCCUAAAUAGCCUUUCAAAUGGGUAUUUGCAUCAUGUGUAGUUAGUUUUGAAGUAGUUCGAAGUAUGAAUUUGAAGUUCAACAACAAGAAAGAUGUAACAAGUUUUUGGUGGUACCUUGGAUGAUGAUGUAACAACAAUUAUUCAUAUCUAUUAAAUAUAUAAUGAUCUCCCUAAUAUUAUACAUUUGUGUAUUGUUGUGAUGGAAGUGAAAUAUGAAGAUUUAAAGUAUUCUAGAAGAAA